Molecule: ribosomal RNA, 557 nt
Filed under: uncultured bacterium
Lineage: Bacteria
Description: bacterial SSU rRNA
Rfam family: Bacterial small subunit ribosomal RNA
Source: RNAcentral
CAUGCCGCGUGAGUGAAGAAGGCCUUCGGGUUGUAAAGCUCUUUUGUCAGGAAAGAAACACCGGCUCUAACACAGUUCGGGAAUGACGGUACCUGAAGAAUAAGCACCGGCUAACUACGUGCCAGCAGCCGCGGUAAUACGUAGGGUGCGAGCGUUAAUCGGAAUUACUGGGCGUAAAGCGUGCGCAGGCGGUUGUACAAGACAGGCGUGAAAUCCCCGGGCUUAACCUGGGAAUGGCGCCUGUGACUGUACGGCUAGAGUGUGUCAGAGGGGGGUAGAAUUCCACGUGUAGCAGUGAAAUGCGUAGAUAUGUGGAGGAAUACCAAUGGCGAAGGCAGCCCCCUGGGAUAACACUGACGCUCAUGCACGAAAGCGUGGGGAGCAAACAGGAUUAGAUACCCUGGUAGUCCACGCCCUAAACGAUGCUGACUAGUUGUUCGGGAUUUACAUCCUGAGUAACGUAGCUAACGCGUGAAGUCAGCCGCCUGAGGAGUACGGGUCGCAAGAUUAAAACUCAAAGGAAUUGACGGGGACCCGCACAAGCGGGUGGGAAUGAU